UACCGGUACAGAGUCAAUGUGGAGGCUAUAUACAGGGGGUACCGGUACAGAGUCAAUGUGGAGGCUAUAUACAGGGAGUACCGGUACAGAGUCAAUGUGGAGGCUAUAUACAGGGGUACCGGUACAGAGUCAAUGUGGAGGCUAUAUACAGGGAGUAAAGGUACAGAGUCAAUGUGGAGGCUAUAUACAGGGAGUACCGGUACAGAGUCAAUGUGGAGGCUAUAUACAGGGGGUAAAGGUACAGAGUCAAUGUGGAGGCUAUAUACAGGGGGUACCGGUACAGAGUCAAUGUGGAGGCUAUAUACAGGGGGUACAGGUACAGAGUCAAU
Long non-coding RNA from Oncorhynchus tshawytscha (Chinook salmon), 329 nucleotides. NCBI's taxonomy places the organism in Eukaryota, Metazoa, Chordata, Actinopteri, Salmoniformes, Salmonidae. The record is from Ensembl.